AAAUUAUGGUUAAAUAAUGUUCAAAUUCAUGGUUAAUGAAGUUUAGUUGAUGAGUGAUGAGUUAUCCAGUCCUUACAUACCUAUCAACGACUCAUUAAAUUGUGUUAACUAUGUGUGUGCGUUAACCAUUUAAAAAGUUGUCGAAUUUUAUUGUCCCAAAUUGAUGUUUAAAUAACAUUUUUGGUCUUUUAUACAUUGUUGGAGACAUGGCAUAUUUCUUGAAAGAAAUUGUUUGUACAGUAACCCCAAUUCAAAAGAAUAUAGAUGCAAAAUGCAAAAGAAAGAAUACAUGAUGUUGAUCACGGAGUUCGGAAAAUUAUGCCUACGUCUCCGACCUUAUGGCGAUUGCAAUUUCGUUCUAUUAGUUUCAAUAUUAAGAUUCCAGUGUACAACUUGUAUCU
RNAcentral lists this long non-coding RNA (401 nucleotides) under Cicer arietinum (chickpea). Its description in RNAcentral is "long non-coding RNA (CARI_LNC000800)". The record is from RNAcentral. Lineage: Eukaryota; Viridiplantae; Streptophyta; Magnoliopsida; Fabales; Fabaceae.